Molecule: ribosomal RNA, 252 nt
Filed under: uncultured bacterium
Lineage: Bacteria
Description: partial 16S ribosomal RNA
Rfam family: Bacterial small subunit ribosomal RNA
Source: RNAcentral
ACGGAGGAUCCAAGCGUUAUCCGGAUUUAUUGGGUUUAAAGGGUCCGCAGGCGGGAUAAUAAGUCAGUGGUGAAAGCCUACAGCUUAACUGUAGAACUGCCAUUGAUACUGUUAUUCUUGAGUAUAGUUGAGGUGGGCGGAAUACGUCAUGUAGCGGUGAAAUGCAUAGAUAUGACGUAGAACACCUAUUGCGAAGGCAGCUCACUAAGCUAUUACUGACGCUGAGGGACGAAAGCGUGGGGAGCGAACAGG